Molecule: non-coding RNA, 62 nt
Filed under: Marmota monax (woodchuck)
Lineage: Eukaryota; Metazoa; Chordata; Mammalia; Rodentia; Sciuridae
Rfam family: Gag/pol translational readthrough site
Source: RNAcentral
UAGGGGCAUCAGGGUUUGACUCCCCUCACAGAGCCCAGGGUAACUCUUAAGGUGGAAGGGAC